Molecule: ribosomal RNA, 253 nt
Filed under: uncultured bacterium
Lineage: Bacteria
Description: partial 16S ribosomal RNA
Rfam family: Bacterial small subunit ribosomal RNA
Source: RNAcentral
UACGUAGGGGGCAAGCGUUGUCCGGAUUUAUUGGGCGUAAAGAGCGUGUAGGCGGCUUUGCAAGUCCGUUGUGAAAACUCGAGGCUCAACCUCGAGACGCCGGUGGAAACUGCAAAGCUAGAGUCCGGAAGAGGAGAGUGGAAUUCCUGGUGUAGCGGUGAAAUGCGCAGAUAUCAGGAGGAACACCCGUGGCGAAAGCGGCUCUCUGGGACGGUACUGACGCUGAGACGCGAAAGCGUGGGGAGCGAACAGG